UUAAGCAUAUCAAUAAGCGGAGGAAAAGAAACCACAGGGAUUGCCUCAGUAACGGCGAGUGAAGCGGCAACAGCUCAAAUUUGAAAUCUGGCCUCUCGGGGUCCGAGUUGUAAUUUGUAGAGGAUGUUUCGGGUACCGCUCCGGUUUAAAUUUCUUGGAACAGAAUGUCAAAGAGGGUGAGAAUCCCGUCUUGGACCGGUGGUAGGGCCUAUGUGAAACUCCUUCGACGAGUCGAGUUGUUUGGGAAUGCAGCUCAAAAUGGGUGGUAAAUUUCAUCUAAAGCUAAAUAUUGGCCAGAGACCGAUAGCGCACAAGUAGAGUGAUCGAAAGAUGAAAAGCACUUUGAAAAGAGAGUUAAACAGUAUGUGAAAUUGUUGAAAGGGAAGCGCUGGCAACCAGACUUGCGCGCGGCGGUUCCCCCUUCCUUUUGGUUGGGUUACUCCGCCGUGUCCAGGCCAAUAUCGGUUCUGGGGGUCGGUCAAAGGCGCUGGGAAUGUACCUACCCUUCGGGCGUAGACUUAUAGCCCAGCGUGUCAUGCGACCUCCCGGGACCGAGGAACGCGCUUCGGCUCGGAUAUUGGCGUAAUGGUUGUCAGCGACCCGUCUUGAAACACGGACCAAGGAGUCUAACAUUUAUGCGAGUGUUUGGGUGUCAAACCCGGAACGCGUAAUGAAAGUGAACGGAGGUAGGAAGCCCUUGGGCUGCACUAUCGACCGAUCCUGAUGUCUUCGGAUGGAUUUGAGUAAGAGCAUAAAUGUUGGGACCCGAAAGAUGGUGAACUAUGCCUGAAUAGGGUGAAGCCAGAGGAAACUCUGGUGGAGGCUCGCAGCGGUUCUGACGUGCAAAUCGAUCGUCAAAUUUGGGUAUAGGGGCGAAAGACUAAUCGAACCAUCUGGUAGCUGGUUCCUGCCGAAG
Molecule: ribosomal RNA, 916 nt
Filed under: Capronia sp.
Lineage: Eukaryota; Fungi; Ascomycota; Eurotiomycetes; Chaetothyriales; Herpotrichiellaceae
Description: partial large subunit ribosomal RNA
Rfam family: Eukaryotic large subunit ribosomal RNA
Source: RNAcentral